This 374-nucleotide ribosomal RNA is filed under the name uncultured organism. RNAcentral describes it as "bacterial SSU rRNA". It matches the Rfam family "Bacterial small subunit ribosomal RNA", at positions 526 to 896 of the family's 1533-position model. The record is from RNAcentral.
CGUAGGGGGCGAGCGUUGUCCGGAUUCAUUGGGCGUAAAGAGCUCGUAGGCGGCUUGGCAAGUCGGAUGUGAAAACUCCAGGCUCAACCUGGAGCCGCCAUUCGAGACUGCCAUGGCUAGAGUCCGGUAGGGGAGUGUGGAAUUCCCGGUGUAGCGGUGAAAUGCGCAGAUAUCGGGAGGAACACCGAUGGCGAAGGCAGCACUCUGGGCCGGUACUGACGCUGAGGAGCGAAAGCGUGGGGAGCGAACAGGAUUAGAUACCCUGGUAGUCCACGCCGUAAACGUUGGGCACUAGGUGUGGGGCCUUAUCAACGGGUUCCGUGCCGCAGCUAACGCAAUAAGUGCCCCGCCUGGGGAGUACGGCCGCAAGGCUA